Molecule: non-coding RNA, 733 nt
Organism: Saimiri boliviensis boliviensis (Bolivian squirrel monkey)
Lineage: Eukaryota; Metazoa; Chordata; Mammalia; Primates; Cebidae
Source: RefSeq, a predicted model, not a curated record
GGAGCAAUUUCUUUUUGUUUAGAGCAUUGGUGGCUCCACGUUAGACGCAUGCUAUGCAGCCAUUCCGGCUACAGCUGCCCAAGUCUGCCUGAGCCUCCUGCAUGAGGUCAUCGGUCUUAAUAAAGCCACUGACCCCACACUCGGAAUUGUACUGACUUUUCCAGCUAACAGCCAACACAUUGUCGAGAAGCAAUUCAGUUGUUGAGGAUAUCACAUCAUGCCAGUGAAAGAGAGAUGGAAUUCAGAAAACCUGGGAUAUUGCAGUUCAGAUAAAUUGCACUUGGCCAACGGAAACGUCCUAAGGGCAUUGCGGCUGCAGCUGGAGGAGGAAGACGACAUCAAAUUAGGGCUUUUGUCACUGUUGCUUGAUUUCAUUAAAGGGCAUUAGUUUUCCGCGAGAUGUAUGGGAUUGGAGAGGAGAGGAGCUGGAAGCCCCCAGAACAGCAGCAAGGCCAGUGCCGGUGAGGACCCUGAGCUGUUCUGCUACCACGUGCCUGGACUGCAUUGUGCUUCCCGCCCUGCCGUGCCGGCCCAGCGGUGCUCUGCUCCAUCCCCCUCAGCCGGCCUGAGACCGGCCCCCAGUGCGUUGUGACUCCUGGGGUCUCUCCGUUGUCCCUCAGCCCCCAGGAGAAUUGCCCUCCCCUGCAGAAGCUGCCUGAUGGGGAGGCUGCCCCCUCUCCGGGACUGACUGACCCAGGUUUAUCCUGAAAGCAGCCUCUCCCCAGGUCAGAAG